Molecule: unclassified non-coding RNA, 1597 nt
Filed under: Leishmania donovani
Lineage: Eukaryota; Euglenozoa; Kinetoplastea; Trypanosomatida; Trypanosomatidae
Description: gene:LdHU3.36.1240(CDS-product:Scaffold_protein_N fu/NifU_N_inal/NifU-like_domain_containing_protein_putative )
Source: RNAcentral
GCUGCGCGCUGUCAUGGGUUACGCGUUUUUGUGUCCAGUAUGCUUCGGCGUACGGUAUGCCGUCGCAUGAUGCAGCUGCAUGCGCAGCGCACCCCGAACCCGCUCUGCCACUCCUUCACCAUCCCGGCGGACAGCUUUGAGAGCUUUGUGCCGCAAGGGCAGUCGUGCGAGGUGGCGCACCGCGGCCUGGCGUGGGUGCACCCGCUCUCCCAAGGACUCUUUGAGCAGUACCCGCAGGAGCUGAUGAGCGUCUUCAUCGCGCCUCGGCACGUGUCCAUCUCCGUGUACACGAACGUGGAUUGGUCUAAAAUCGAGUGGAGCAUCAGCAGCUUCCUGGGGCACUACCUCAUCUUUACUAAUGCGUGCAUCUCUCCUGCAAAGGAAUACACCCUCAUCGAGGACGACCUAGAACUGAAGGACACCGACUCCGAGGUGUUACAGUGUAUCAAGGAGCUGCUGCGAGAACAGGUGCGUCCGAUGGUCCAGCGCGACGGAGGCGAUGUGAAACUGCUGAACUUCAACGAGAAAACGGGGAUCGUGUCCCUAGCGAUGCUUGGUGCCUGCAAAACGUGCCCCUCAUCGCAGAACACCCUCAAGGACGGUAUCGAACGCGUCAUGAAGCACUUCUUGCCGGAGGUGACAGAGGUGAUCGAGGACAAGGAGCACCAGUUCUACGAGGACUAUGGGCUCCUUUUCGACUCGGAGAAGGCGCUCUUCAAGGAGGCCGCGCGACUAGAUCGAGAGCGGCAGGCGCAACUUCGACACAAGCUAACCCCCAUGGUUCUCUCCUAUGACGCUCUCAACGAACCGGAUGGCGAUUGAGUGCUGCAGAGACAUGUGUUUGGGUGUGGGCGCGCGUGCGUGUGCGUGUGCGUUCAUGCUUACGCGAAACUGUUGGCUCAAGGGAACCGCUCUGCACUGGGCGUCACCGCGCAGACCCUCGAUGCGCACAAUGCUUAUGCCUGUUUCGCCUUUUGCGUGUUCUCUGCACUUUUUUUUUGUAUCGCGUUGGCGCCUCUUGAAAGCGACCUGCACUGUUGCGUUUUCAGCCUCCCUUCCGUGACUGGGAAUGGGAGAAGAGGGCAACGUCUCCUACCGCCCCCUUCCCCUUGCGCUCCGCAUUUUUGGUCGACCAUCGACAAGGCGGUGAAGUAGAGCGCACAAAAAUGAAAAGCCGCCGAACAAUCAAGAGCGCCUUGCAUCGGCUCUCCCACGACGAAGAGGUGCAUGCAUGCGUGUAUGCUUGUAGGUAUAUCGGUGCGCACCACAAGCGCCCACACGCACAUAGACGCGCAGGUCUGAUGGGGCGUUGUGACAGCGACCGAGCAGCGCCUUGUCGCUCGAGAAUGUAGCUUUUCGCCCCUUUGUGAUGCCGAUUACUACGCCUAAUUCCCUCCCUCCGGAUUGAGCGAUUCGGCUGUCACAAUGGGUACGCGCAGGGUCGUAGAAUCGGUGGAUGUCCCCUUUUGAGCAGCUUCAUCUUCCUAGGGCGUAUUGCCGGCACGUCCCCGCCCACGCAUGUGGUGAUAUCUGCCCUCCCCCUCAUUCUUCUUCUCUCUCUCUAUGCCCUGUUCGAGCCCUUUGCCCAUACACGAAG